UUGGUUGCAGAAAAGGAAAAUUGUAAGGAAGCAGGGGUACAUUGCAGAACCCGAGGGCAGGAAUGCUAAGAGGUCUCGGGGAGGAAUAGAAUCGGGAACUGAAGGGCCAUGGAGACUCUUCUUUGUCUCAGCAUUUGUCAGUGAUUCUGUUUCACCCACAUGCUCUCUACAGCUUGGUUUCUCUGUCUCUCUGGCCCGCUGAAUGGAAUAUGCUCACUGCCUUCCUCUCUCCACGGCUCCCGAGUUCACUCCUCAUGCUUAUCCUCCCACAUUAAGAAACUUGCAGUCUCCCACUCCCAGCUCCAUAUUCCGAAGAAAGGGAUGCUGAUUGGCAUCUCCUGGCCAGGUGGCCUCCCCUGGUCCAAUCAAUCCAGGGGUGGUACAAACAUGCCAAUUUUCUCUGGGGAACCCUGAAUGAUGCAGCAUGGGAUACGUGGUUUUUUGUUUUUUGCUUUUUGUUUUCAUUUUACUCUGUUCCUUCACAGUGCAAUACAAGAGUCAACUCCUGUAAAUAAAACAAAUCUCCCAAUGGAGGUCAACUAUUCAGCAUGCCUAACGAUUUCUAGGUUUGCCUUAACUGAACGAAGUCUGAGCUCUUCAUUUUUGAUCGCCAGGGUGCGCGCUUGGUCCUCCAGGAGGGGCGCGGCUCCGUGGGAGCUUCGCGUCUGGGGAAGACGUAGCUGGCAGGCGCUGGCCCCUCGGAGGGGCUGUGCGAGCCUGGGGAGCGCAGGUGGGGCUGCGGAAAGAAGCUAGAAGCUGGAGCUGUCUGCUGCUGUCAGUCAUCUCCCAACAGGAGGACAUUGAAACUUCAUGAAGGACACAGGAUGGUUUGUUGUGCAGAAUGGCGCAGGGAUUUACAGGACAUCAAGCAUCUUUGGCCAGUGCCCACUAAACGCCAGUAGCACUGCCUCAGUCAUGAUGACAGCCGAAAAAUGCCCCCAUUCGUUUCCAAAAUUCCCCCCAGGAAGCAAUAUCAGCCAUGUUAAGAGCUGCUCUUCUACAAGUAAGUAGAUUCUUGAUGCCUCUGUUAAAUCUCACCACGAUAAUGCUAUGUAGCUUUGGCAGCCAUGAAAAAAACACCUUGCAGACUUAUGAGUCUAGUUGGCCAAUUAGCGUGCUCUGAAACCCACUGCCAAUUUUGUGCCAAGGCCAUGCUUCCCAUAGGUUUCUCCCAGCCAAUGGCUGCAUGUAGUGGGGAUACUAAGGCAGACCUGUUCCUGGGAGGCUCGAGACUCCUCUGACAGUUGACUUUGACUGAGCUUCCCCAUAGCCUUGUUGAACUUUCUUUAGACUGCAUGGCAGACAUUUCUACCCACCUUUCCUUCCCUCUUUCCUUCAUUUGGGUCAGACUUGCGUGGCCUUCUGACAGCUGUCCUAGCUCACAGUUGCCUCUCUAUUUUCUCUCCCAUUGGUAUUUCCUGAAUAAAAUCCUUGUACAUUUUAUUCCACCUUGGCAUCUGCUUCUUAGAGGAUCUGGACUAACACUGAACCACAAAACCUCCAUGGCACACAACCGUGGUGUUUAUCACUCUCAUUUCUGAGUGGCGGGGGUCAGGUGACUAGACAGCUCAGCUGACUGGCUGGAGAAGUCUGUCUGGUAGUUGAUCUAGGAUGACCUCUGCCAUGAUGACUGAGGACUCAGCUGUGCUCCACAUGUCUCAUAUUUCCCAGUAGGCAUGUGAUAGUGCUCACACAGGCACAAGAGGAAAGCUGCAUGUGUAAGCCUAUUUCAAACCUCUGCUUGCCUUGGGUCAGCUAUACCAAUUGGCUAAAGAAAACCAUACAGCUGAGCCCAGACUGAGUUAGAGGACCCUGAAAAGUAAGAUAACAAAAAGUCAGGAUACAGGAAGAGGUGAAGAAUGGGGCUAUUUUCAUAAUCUACCACCGUGUCCAUGCAUGUUCCCUAUUAGUAAAACACCAUUCUUUCUCAGUUUAUAAAAAAGUGUACCCUCUCUUACAAUUUUCUGUAACCACAUCAUUGCAGAGUAACUUGAUAGAGAGGAAGUCUGAAAUGCUGAGUACUUACCAACAGACUCUGAGUUAUCCACAUGAAGCUAUUUAAACUGGAGAAAAACUUCCAUUACAUUCACUGUCAAGUUAAAGUCAUCUUCUCCUCCCCUUGGUGACCUAGUGCUGUGACUGCCCAUGACAAAGAUUAGCUCAGCUACAGACAGCAAAUAAUCUACAUUUUCUUUGUGCAUUAUAGUGACUGGUUGAAUUUUCAAACCCCUUCCACACAAAAAUGGAGAAGUCUGGGCAUUAUUAUUUUUAAAAUACAUUUGAAUGAGGGGUGCCUGGGUG
Felis catus (domestic cat) is the source of this 2301-nucleotide long non-coding RNA. RefSeq lists it as uncharacterized. Lineage: Eukaryota; Metazoa; Chordata; Mammalia; Carnivora; Felidae. The record is from RefSeq and is a predicted model, not a curated record. The transcript has 3 exons.